AUCCAACUGACGAGUCCCAAAUAGUAUGAAACGCGCGUCCUGGAC
This is a non-coding RNA of Schistosoma curassoni, 45 nucleotides long. NCBI's taxonomy places the organism in Eukaryota, Metazoa, Platyhelminthes, Trematoda, Strigeidida, Schistosomatidae. The record is from Rfam.